Molecule: long non-coding RNA, 1580 nt
Organism: Struthio camelus australis
Lineage: Eukaryota; Metazoa; Chordata; Aves; Struthioniformes; Struthionidae
Source: Ensembl
CCUGUGGGGCUUCGGCUGCACAGCGAGGGAGGGGCGCGGCUCACCUGAAGGCAGGUGCCUCGCUUUUGCUUAAUUGUCAUCAGGCAGGAGUAAAAGCUCGGAAGGAGGCCGAGGACGCAGGGAUCGGUCUCGACCUGCCUCUGGGGGUGUGGCCAGGCGGCUCCUUGCUGAGGUGCUGUGCACAGUCAGCUCCCAAAGGACUUGGGAGUCCUUUAUGCCUCGGGAAAACAGGACAUGGCAGGCUACGUGACAGGGAAGGUGUGGGUGCUGUGUAUGAGUGUGCUGAUUCAGAUGGCAAGGGGAAACAUGCUUUUUGUAAUCCUACGUGUUCCCCCGUGUCUCUUGUUUUGUCUUUUCUUCUGUGCUUCACAAGGUGCUUCAGGCCUGCUCAACUCUUCCCUCUGUACUUCCUGCUCAGAGUAGAUGAGGUAGCAAGCCCACAAUGAACUACUUGCCUUCAAUGAAGUUAUUCACGUGUCUGAAUCCGAUGCCUGUAUGGAUUAGGCUCGUCCUUGUCUUGUAUACAAAAACUUUCUCAAAACUUUCUCUCCGGUGGCCUGAUCUACAACUGCUUGAAGUCUACCAUUCCAGAAGCAAUUUUUUAAAGAACAAAAGAAACCGUGCCAUCCUGCUGCCACACGCAAAGCACAGAACCAGCAUGUGAGAGAGUGAAACUAGGUGUGCUCUGUGCUCACGGCCCUAAACCGGAGGAAAACCGCAAGCAGGCACAGCACAGCAGGUACCACGUUUGCAGAGGGAGCAAGGACGGGGAGGGGAGGUUUAAUGACAUCGGUGUCAGCAAUGCGCAGUCUGGUACAGCUCCAACUGCUGGCGCCCUAUGGCGCAGGCUGAGAGGAAACCGAGGCGGCGGCCGCGGGGAGCGGCACUGCUUCACCGCGGCUCUCGGGCCGCCCUCCUUCCCCCCCCUCCCCGGCCGGGACAGGGUAGGGCAGCGCCGGGGCCGCACUGCUUGCCCGCCCUGACCUCUAGCCUGGGCGGGCGGCGUCCUUCCUCCUCCUCCAGCUGCUCGCCUGGGAGCACAAAUAUAGGUCGGGCGAGGUGCGAUUCAGCUUGGACGAGUUCAGGAUGCGGUCCUGGUCUUACUGAAGGGAAUUGUAGAGUUCCUGUACCUACAAUUCUUCUUAAGGUCUGUACGGUAAUAUAUAUUUAAUAUGGAAAAUGUGAAUAACGUCAGAAAUAGCUGACAAGGUAAUAUUUUUUAGGUUCUUCUUAAAGCGACCUAUUUGGACAGCUGCCUGACAGCCCCAGUAGAUGUGGCUAAGCAGACUUCUUAUGCACGGGUAGAAGUUGAGCAUUCUUAUAGUCACUGAAACAUUUAUCUCUAAAUUUUUUUUUAUCUGUCUGUUUGAAAUUGAUAUGCAGUUACUUUUUACUCAUCUCAUUAUUAUCUUGUGCUUUCUUAUCUUUGUCUUUUCUUCUACAUCCACCUAUUGUUGUAAGCUCUUCAGGAGAAGAGCUGUCCCUUUGUUAUGUGUGCAUAUGGUGUAUUAUGCUGAGGCCCUGAUUACUACUACAGCAACACUGUUGUUCAAGUAAUAAAUAAUAAUUCUCCUUUGUCA